Molecule: long non-coding RNA, 4187 nt
Filed under: Actinidia chinensis (golden kiwifruit)
Lineage: Eukaryota; Viridiplantae; Streptophyta; Magnoliopsida; Ericales; Actinidiaceae
Description: long non-coding RNA (ACHI_LNC000935)
Source: RNAcentral
UUUUCCGAGGGGGCUGAACCAGACCUUGUCCAGGGCCACCAUCAGGAAGAGGAACUCCGCCAUGAUGAUGGGGAGGGUCAGGUUGAAGUCGAAGAGCGCCGCCUUCUCGAACUCCUCCGCCAGCGACGGUGGUGCGGCGGCCAGGGCGGCGACGGCGACGGCGGCGAAGGAUUUGAGGGAGGUGGAGGUAGAGAGAGAAGUGAGUUGCGGCUUUGGGAAUUUGGGGAUUUGGGGGAAUUUUGGGAAUUGGAGGUGUUUGGGUUUUGGGGCGGAGGAGGAGUGAGUUGGGAUUAGGGUUUUGGAGGAGGAGGCCAUGAUCAUGUUGGCCAUGGCUAUGGGACUGGUUGUGUCAAGUGGAGUAUUGCAAUGGGGUGUGUGAGAGAGAGGGAGAGGGGUUUGAUUUUGUGUGAAAUGUGUGGGGAGAGAGAGAGAAAGGACUUUAUCUUAUUCCAUGCCACACAAAAUUAAGAGGUGGUGGUGACAAGGAAAGAUGUGCAUAGAAGACUCUCAAAUGAAAAAAAAAAAUUAAAAAAAUGUAAUAUGGGGUAAACAAAGAUUUUUUGGUUUUGAUUUUUUGUUUUUAUUAUUUUGAAAAACACAAAAAUAUGUGUUUAGUUGAGGGUUUUCAUAUUCUGUUUUUAAGUUUUUUUUUUAAUAUUUUCACAAACUAUUUUUCUAAAAAUGAGAGUUUUGGUAUUCAACACCACUUUCUAAAAAAUAAGUUAUGAAUACAAUGAACUAUAGUGUGAUAAUUGGGAUCGAAACUGAUUAUCGAAUCGGUCACUUCCACGACCACGAUGACUCGACUGAGUUUAUGGGUGGUCGAUCAUUCGUAGAUAUUAUAGUGAUUCGACAGUCAACCAUUCAUUAAAAAAAAUGAAGCGCAAAUGGAUUGCGGUCACCAGUCAUCUAAUUUUUUAUAAAGGCAGCUUGAUGUACAUUGUGGAGUGCUACGUAUUUUCAGCUUACAACAAGAAUUGGAACGUGAAUGGAAGUUUCCAAUAGGCUAACCAUUUAAGUGCCGUGCCUGCCAAUCACUAGACCUCCGUCCAGAGGGGUAAUCUUUGGGCAUUAAAGAUAUUACUACUACAAAGGCGUACGAUACUUCUGAAGGCUUCCCAAGAAACCAUCUGCAAAUCCUUGACGAGAAAGAACUGCUUUUGGAUUUCCUAUGGGGAAUACUCACCAGUCUCCGGUCAGUAUGUGAAACCACCCGUCCAAUAAAACUGAGACCACUCGUUGUAGUGUGACCGAUAUCCUCAUUCCGAUCCUCACAAUGCUGGUGUCCGUCGUAAGCUCUCUAGAUCGUCAGAAUUUCACCAUCUUUUGGGACCAUUUGUUCUAGCUCUGACCUUCAAUCAUGCAAAUUAAUCACAAUCUCAUUAAUUUACAGUUUAACAAAAAAAAAAGGAGAUGUUAUAUAAAAGAGACCUUACAUCCUGGUUUCCAAAGCAAAACAACUAUCUUUGACUGCCUCCCUCGUAGAUUAAAAUCGAAAACAUGUCCGAACAAAAUGCAGCUGCUUUCAGAUAAGGAACCACAUAAGCAACAAAAAAAUAGGGGGCACACCAACAACAAAUGUCACUGUGUCAUACAGAAAGAAUGGACGUGGAGAUGAUACACUCCAUAAAUCCUCAAGUAAAAGUAAUGGACAAACAGAAGUCAAAAUGUAGCUGGUGAAAUCAUGCUACCGGAUGAGAUUGAGACCAAAAGGAAGAAGAAAUAUAGAACACCAAGUAAGCAGCAAGAUGUAACCUUACAUCUACAUGUGGAGCAAGUUGAUUACCCACGAAGAACCACGCCAGUAUUUUAAGCUUUUUAUAGGCCGCUUACAUAUUUUAAUCGGAUUGCACUCUCUUCUCUUGUGGUGGUCAAAAGUCCCUAUCCAUUGUUGGACCCUCAACUUUCCGCUUGUUGAAUGAAGGAACGAAAGUGGAUUGUUGCUCAAAUGCUUUGCAGAGUUGCAGUCAAAUGAAUCCAGAAAAGAUUACAAGUGCUGAAUCCGUAAUCUGUGAUUGGUUGAGGUACUGAUGUUACCUCCUAUAAGGUAAAGGUUCAUUUUUCUUGAUAGGGUGGGUAUCGCACACCUCGCUACAGUCCCAUUGCCAUUGGGUAUCAACUCAUUAACAACUUCAAACUUUCAGGGGAAGGCUUAUAUGCCCUGGGUAUAAAUGGCGAUGCUGCCUGCCUCAAAUCACACAUUGUUCUCUGACAUGGAGUGGUAAUCGGAUAAAGGAAAAAAAAACAAGAAGACGAAUGUAAAAAGCGGGUGCCGAGGUCAGGUGCUAAAGACUCACGGACUAAGCUUGGUCUAUACUACAUCGAGAUGGGAAAGGGUUAAAUACAAAAAUGGGUACGAACUGACUUGAUCGAUGAGGAGUGUUGAGAUAACACUUGUUUAUGAGAGUGAUAAGCAGGAGAACCAUCUCCGUAAGGAAUCUACAAAAACCUAUUACAUAAAGGUUGACCAAACAAACUUCUGUAUCCCCAAUUUAAAACAGAUUGGGUCAUGGACUCAGAAUAAGACGAACUGCCACAGUUCAUAUGAAAAGUCGUCAGAUAGAAAGCAAUUGAUGUUAGAGAUAUGAACACAAAUCUAUAUUAUUUCUAACCAUCUAUAAUCACUGCUGACAGUAUAUUUUAUUCAACUGGUUUCUAUUGAUCAACUAAAUAUGGUUACAAUGCUUAUGUUCCCCAAUUAGGGACCCCCCCACCCCCACCCCCAAUCUAAGUCAUUUAAGCGAAACGAGUUUACACCUAUGUCUUAUUGUCUUGGAUCUACUCAUAAUAUACUACGUCAUGUCAGAUAUUAGUUUUAUAUAAAUAAUUAUUUCCUCCGUCCCCACCAAUUUGUUUAGCAUUUUUUUAAUUUGGCAGUCCAAAAAAUCCUUGGCAGUUGAAACGUCAACGCAAGAAAACUUGAGUUCAUGUUUUGCUACCCAUUUCUUACAAAUGGUUAUAAUACUUAUCGAGAGUGGGGAUAAAGGGAUAACACGACGCUGGGCAUCCGUUGGAACAUCGCUACCUUUGUGAUUUGUGAAUUUUGAGAACUUUAAAUGCAUUUUUCCCUUAAAAAGUUGGGAACCGAAAACGGGACAACAAAAUGGGUGGCAGGAAAAGUUAUUUGGUCUAUUUCAUUGUUUUCUUCCCAAGUUCAUUAUAGAUGGGACGAACUUUGUUAUUUAAAUAUUAGGUUUUUUGAAUUGGCACAUUGCAUCAAUAACUUUCUCUAAAACGAACGUUUUGUGCUAAAACAAUUACAGAAGAGGAGAGGAAAAGGCAGCAAGCCAACAAAUCUUUUGUGACCUGACAUUUGGAUAGGAAACAUAGAGCUGCAUUCUCUAGUUUGCUGUAACUACCAGGCGAGGAUGUGCCAUAAGGCAAACAAUAGACUUUUGAUAUUCUUGAUAAGCAAUAAGAUUUCGGGUAUUAUCCCAAAAAGCUAACAGUAGGACGAAGAGUAAGAUGCUGCUUUUUAUUUAAGGACACAUGGUUGUUAUGCUAUUAAGUGCAAAAAAUUUAGGGCAUGGGUCGAAGAUUUCCCUACUUUCAUAGAUCUUAGAAAGAAGACCUUCUUUGCCUUAAGAAACGUUAAAUCUAAAAUAGAGAGAACUCGUUGUGGUAAAAAAGGAGGUGAGAAUCUCCCAACGUCAUUGGCAAGAAAAAGAGAAGAAUCUUCUAGUAAGAUGUAGUAACUGAUCCAUGUAAGGCCAAGAUUAGGGAAAGUUAAACUCCAAUUUAGUCUUCUAAGAAAGACCUUGAGGCAAAUCACACAAUAUGAGAAAUAAGCAACAAAAAGAAUGUGAGAUGUCCUAAGAAUAUGAUAUUGAAUGAAAAAGCACAGAGAAGUUCUACAGGAUACCCCACAGGAGAUACACUUUGAAAACGCUUCAAGGUGGUUGAUAGUCCCUAAAAAGCGUCUUUCAGGGAAAAUACAACACUAAACUGAUCUCCGUCAAUGAUUCCAUAAUUGCCGACAGGUUCACUGUCAACAAACUAGAUUCCAACCAUCAUAGCAUAGGUGUGGCAAGAAACGGCCCCCAAACAUGUGACCUAGGUGAAUAAAGUGCACAUAAAAAUCCCCCAAAGUCAUUUCAUACAAAAUUAAAAAAUAAAAGAAAUCAAACAACCAAUCUACAAGUCUCUUAGAAACAACAACCAACCUGAAAAUAUAUAGUAACAAGCAU